RNAcentral lists this ribosomal RNA (1024 nucleotides) under uncultured cyanobacterium. RNAcentral's name for it is "bacterial SSU rRNA". It matches the Rfam family "Bacterial small subunit ribosomal RNA", at positions 377 to 1416 of the family's 1533-position model. The record is from RNAcentral. Lineage: Bacteria; Bacillati; Cyanobacteriota.
GCAAGCCUGACGGAGCAACGCCGCGUGAGGGAUGGAGGCCUUUGGGCUGUAAACCUCUUUUCUCAAGGAAGAAAAUCUGACGGUACUUGAGGAAUAAGCCACGGCUAAUUCCGUGCCAGCAGCCGCGGUAAUACGGGAGUGGCAAGCGUUAUCCGGAAUUAUUGGGCGUAAAGCGUCCGCAGGCGGCCGUUUAAGUCUGUUGUUAAAUCGUGGAGCUCAACUCCAUCACGGCAAUGGAAACUGCUCGGCUUGAGUAUGGUAGGGGCAGAGGGAAUUUCCGGUGUAGCGGUGAAAUGCGUAGAUAUCGGGAAGAACACCAGUGGCAAAAGCGCUCUGCUGGGCCAUUACUGACGCUCAUGGACGAAAGCCAGGGGAGCGAAAGGGAUUAGAUACCCCUGUAGUCCUGGCCGUAAACGAUGAACACUAGAUGUUGGGGGAAUCGACCCCCUCGGUGUCGUAGCUAACGCGUUAAGUGUUCCGCCUGGGGAGUACGCACGCAAGUGUGAAACUCAAAGGAAUUGACGGGGGCCCGCACAAGCGGUGGAGUAUGUGGUUUAAUUCGAUGCAACGCGAAGAACCUUACCAAGGCUUGACAUCCUGCGAAUCUCUAAGAAAUUAGAGAGUGCCCUUUGGGAACGCAGUGACAGGUGGUGCAUGGCUGUCGUCAGCUCGUGUCGUGAGAUGUUGGGUUAAGUCCCGCAACGAGCGCAACCCACGUUUUUAGUUGCCAGCAUUCAGUUGGGCACUCUAGAAAGACUGCCGGUGACAAACCGGAGGAAGGUGUGGACGACGUCAAGUCAUCAUGCCCCUUACGCCUUGGGCUACACACGUACUACAAUGCUGCGGACAAAGAGUAGCGAUCUUGCAAAAGUUAGCUAAUCUCGUAAACCGUGGCUCAGUUCAGAUCGUAGGCUGCAACUCGCCUACGUGAAGGAGGAAUCGCUAGUAAUCGCAGGUCAGCAUACUGCGGUGAAUACGUUCCCGGGCCUUGUACACACCGCCCGUCACACCAUGGAAGUUGGCC